UGGGGAAUUUUGGACAAUGGGCGAAAGCCUGAUCCAGCAAUGCCGCGUGUGUGAAGAAGGCCUUCGGGUUGUAAAGCACUUUUGUCCGGAAAGAAAUCCUUGGCUCUAAUACAGUCGGGGGAUGACGGUACCGGAAGAAUAAGCACCGGCUAACUACGUGCCAGCAGCCGCGGUAAUACGUAGGGUGCAAGCGUUAAUCGGAAUUACUGGGCGUAAAGCGUGCGCAGGCGGUUUGCUAAGACCAUGUGAAAUCCCCGGGCUCAACCUGGGAACUGCAUUGGUGACUGGGCAGGCUAGAGUAUGGCAGAGGGGGGUAGAAUUCCACGUGUAGCAGUGAAAUGCGUAGAGAUGUGGAGGAAUACCGAUGGCGAAGGCAGCCCCCUGGGCCAAUACUGACGCUCAUGCACGAAAGCGUGGGGAGCAAACAGGAUUCAGAUACCCUGGUAGUCCAGCGCCCUAAACGAUGUCAACUAGUUGUUGGGAUUCAUUCCUUAGUAACGUAGCUAACGCGUGAAGUUGACCGCCUGGGGAGUACGGUCGCAAGAUUAAAACUCAAAUGAAUUGACGGGGUCAUAGCUG
Molecule: ribosomal RNA, 579 nt
Filed under: uncultured bacterium
Lineage: Bacteria
Description: partial 16S ribosomal RNA
Rfam family: Bacterial small subunit ribosomal RNA
Source: RNAcentral